RNAcentral lists this long non-coding RNA (743 nucleotides) under Mytilus galloprovincialis (Mediterranean mussel). The record is from RNAcentral. Lineage: Eukaryota; Metazoa; Mollusca; Bivalvia; Mytilida; Mytilidae.
GUGUGGGAAAUAAUGUUUUGGAAAUGAAUAUCCAGGACUUGUAAGAGCUGAAAAUAAAUAUCUUACAUUGCAGAAGACAAGGGGUGUGAAUUUUCUGCAAUAAAAAAUGAGAGAAAGAAAUAAUUCAGUUUAAAAGCAUAGCAAAACGUUCCGAGAUACAAACAAAAUCAGAAGACAAUGGGUGUGAAUUUUCUGAAAUACAAAAUCAGAGAAAGAAAUAAUUCAGUCCAAAAACAUAGCAAAACGUUCCGCGAUACAAACAAAAUCAGAAGACAAGGGGUGUGAAUCUUCUGAAAUACAAAAUCAGAGAAAGAAAUAAUUCAGUCCAAAAACAUAGCAAAACGUUCCGCGAUACAAACAAAAUCCUGCGAAGCAAUAUAUCUAAAUGAAUUACCAAUCCACAAACAUCCCUCAAUGGUGGCAUCUUUAUACACACCCAACAUUAAAACGUGCUUUUUAUUUAAUUGACAAUUUGGCUGUGAAGGUUAACUGGAGAAGACACCAAUAGGACGCUGCUUCAUAUGUAUAUCUAAAGACCGCUUCUGGAAUAACCGUCAAUCUCUCGAUACUGAUGGAUUUUGGCAUCGAAAUUCAUGACUUUGCAAAUUGAUAUUAUUAUUAUAGUACGAUUGGUUAUUUUAAAAAGUUCUAUGACGAAGGUUUAUUUUAUGACCUUAAGUGUGAUGCCCGGUCGGCCAAAUUAAAGUUUCAAAAAAUUAAUCACUAGUCUAUUUUAAUAUUGG